UCAAUCAAUCAUACACAAUUUUGGCUGGUGGAACCAAAGCUACUCUUAAUUCCUGUAACAUAUUCCUUCACUAAUCUCAUAAAAUGAAAUCGCAUUUCCAAAGUCGAGUUAUGAAAUCACAGGCUGGCGCGGUAAACUCUCUUCAGGCUCUUUUCAUAUUCUUUUAUGUUUCUUUAAACUAUUUCUUAAUCUGACCGUUAAUAAUUCAGAUUCAGAAUGAUUUAACAGAAGGAAGAUAUUUGUUAUCUGCUGCAUCCAUCUGUGGCGGUCUGCGAGGUUCAACGGCCUAGUGAUUACGACAGUUUGAUGUCGAAACACAUUGCUUAUUUGCUGUUGAUAGGCAACAUGUAGUAGCUCAUAAAAAUGCAGUAUUGUUAGCUACACUCAACUCAAACAUUCUGUAUUUUAGUUUAGCUUAUUCCUUGUUUGUGAUGGGAUUGAAAGUAACAGGAUGGCAU
RNAcentral lists this long non-coding RNA (458 nucleotides) under Medicago truncatula (barrel medic). RNAcentral describes it as "long non-coding RNA (MTRU_LNC005675)". Lineage: Eukaryota; Viridiplantae; Streptophyta; Magnoliopsida; Fabales; Fabaceae. The record is from RNAcentral.